UCCGGCUCUACGCCGGCAGUCUCUCUAGAGUCCCCGACAUUACUCGCUGGCAACUAGUCACAAGGGUUGCGCUCGUUGCGGGACUUAACCCAACAUCUCACGUCACGAGCUGACGACAGCCAUGCAGCACCUGUGCAGGAGUCCCGAAGGACACCCCGAGUUUCCCCAGGAUUUCCCCUGCAUGUCAAGCCCUGGUAAGGUUCUUCGCGUUGCGUCGAAUUGAACCACAUGCUCCGCUGCUUGUGCGGGUCCCCGUCAAUUCCUUUGAGUUUUAGCCUUGCGGCCGUACUCCCCAGGCGGGGCACUUAAUGCGUUAGCUUCGGCACAGGAGGAGUCGACACCUCCCACACCUAGUGCCCAUCGUUUACGGCGUGGACUAC
This 380-nucleotide unclassified non-coding RNA is filed under the name uncultured bacterium. Its description in RNAcentral is "contains 16S-23S intergenic spacer region". The record is from RNAcentral.